RNAcentral lists this long non-coding RNA (275 nucleotides) under Homo sapiens (human). RNAcentral describes it as "HSALNT0215398". Lineage: Eukaryota; Metazoa; Chordata; Mammalia; Primates; Hominidae. The record is from RNAcentral.
CAGAAGGAAACUGUAACUGCAAAGAAGAAACUGUAGCAGAAAACAGCUUGGCCAGGAAGGGGCAGGAGAUCCGGGCAAGAGCUAGACCACAGAAUCCUGCUGGACAGAAAGAGCCAUGAACAACAGCUGGCCAGAAAACCGAAGGAAUAAAAUAAGUGUCCAGUGAAAAUGAAAAAAAAAAAAGUUAUUGGGUCCGAUGCUACACAAAGAAUGAGAACCAGAUCCACGCACGCAAGCUCCCCACACACACAUCUGGCACCCUCUUACGGAUGCUG